GGAGAGGUGGCUGAGUGGCCGAAAGCGGCGCUUUGCUAAAGCGUUGUAGGGACAAAAAACCCUACCGGGGGUUCGAAUCCCCCCCUCUCCGCCA
This 94-nucleotide transfer RNA is filed under the name Puniceicoccales bacterium. Its description in RNAcentral is "tRNA-Ser". It matches the Rfam family "tRNA". Rfam says of the family: Transfer RNA (tRNA) molecules are approximately 80 nucleotides in length. The record is from RNAcentral. Lineage: Bacteria; Pseudomonadati; Verrucomicrobiota; Opitutia; Puniceicoccales.